ACUUGCUUCUUUGCUGGCGACCGGCGCACGGGUGAGUAACACGUAUCCAACCUGCCCUUUACUCGGGGAUAGCCUUUCGAAAGAAAGAUUAAUACCCGAUAGUAUAAUGAUUCCGCAUGGUUUCAUUAUUAAAGGAUUCCGGUAAAGGAUGGGGAUGCGUUCCAUUAGGUUGUUGGUGAGGUAACGGCCCACCAAGCCUUCGAUGGAUAGGGGUUCUGAGAGGAAGGUCCCCCACAUUGGAACUGAGACACGGUCCAAACUCCUACGGGAGGCAGCAUG
This 279-nucleotide ribosomal RNA is filed under the name uncultured bacterium. Its description in RNAcentral is "partial 16S ribosomal RNA". It matches the Rfam family "Bacterial small subunit ribosomal RNA", at positions 72 to 353 of the family's 1533-position model. The record is from RNAcentral.